AUACGGAGGGUGCGAGCGUUAAUCGGAAUAACUGGGCGUAAAGGGCACGCAGGCGGUGACUUAAGUGAGGUGUGAAAGCCCCGGGCUUAACCUGGGAAUUGCAUUUCAUACUGGGUCGCUAGAGUACUUUAGGGAGGGGUAGAAUUCCACGUGUAGCGGUGAAAUGCGUAGAGAUGUGGAGGAAUACCGAAGGCGAAGGCAGCCCCUUGGGAAUGUACUGACGCUCAUGUGCGAAAGCGUGGGGAGCAAACAGGAUUAGAUACCCUGGUAGUCCACGCUGUAAACGAUGUCGAUUUGGGGGUUGAGCUUUAAGCUUGGCGCCCGUAGCUAACGUGAUAAAUCGACCGCCUGGGGAGUACGGCCGCAAGGUUAAA
This 374-nucleotide ribosomal RNA is filed under the name uncultured bacterium. RNAcentral describes it as "bacterial SSU rRNA". It matches the Rfam family "Bacterial small subunit ribosomal RNA", at positions 523 to 898 of the family's 1533-position model. The record is from RNAcentral.